Molecule: ribosomal RNA, 171 nt
Filed under: uncultured rumen bacterium
Lineage: Bacteria
Description: partial 16S ribosomal RNA
Rfam family: Bacterial small subunit ribosomal RNA
Source: RNAcentral
CCUACGGGAGGCAGCAGUGGGGAAUAUUGGGCAAUGGGGGAAACCCUGACCCAGCAACGCCGCGUGAGGGAAGAAGGUUUUCGGAUCGUAAACCUCUGUCCCAGGUGAAGAGAAAGAGACGGUAACCUGGGAGGAAGCCCCGGCUAACUACGUGCCAGCAGCCGCGGUAAU